GGUUCCAUAACUCAGUUGGUUAGAGUGUGGUGCUAAUACAGAUCGAGCAAACAUCUGGAAACGCCAAAGUCGAGGGUUCGACCCCCUCUGGGACCA
Penicillium ucsense is the source of this 96-nucleotide non-coding RNA. The record is from the annotation of a GenBank genome assembly. NCBI's taxonomy places the organism in Eukaryota, Fungi, Ascomycota, Eurotiomycetes, Eurotiales, Aspergillaceae.